CUAAUCUCAUUUCUUUAUCUUCCAUGGAAUUUUUAAUCCAAUAUGAUGGUCAGAAAAAUAUAUGCUCAUUUCAUUAAUAAAUUAAAUAAAGGUUACAUAAACAAACCGGAAAAUACACAUCUACAGGAGCAAAAAAUUCCUAAAAACUUAAAAUUACAAACAUCUCAUGGAGAACACUAAGCUACUCUACAGCUCCUCAGGCGCCGGGGCGCUCGCCAUAUGUUAACUUUGGUUAAUUCCAGUGUCUUUGUGGCCACCGAUUCGGCCGUACUCGCCAAAGUCAUCGGAGAGAGGUCCCAUUUUUGCAACAUAACCAUGCUUCUGGAAGGCACUCUGUCUCCACCGGUGAAGACUCCAUAGAGCUUGUAUUACCUGCGUGUUGAGAAGCCCCAAGAACCUCUCAAAAAAAAUGAAUGGAUGGAAAAAUCAAAAGCAACAGGGGGAGGUAGACCUGGUGACCUGGUGGACUGCGGCUCACAGCCUGCCAAGGAUCCCGCCGGUCCGAUGCGGCGGAACUCCACCAGGCGCGUCGUCAGGUGAGGCUGAAGCGGGACCUUGAGCACGCCCGUAGUCAUCGCGCCCAGCCCAUCCAGCUUGUGCACGCCCACGAGGGACCUUGUCGCUCCGUGCAGCAAGGUGGGCACCAUCCGUAGGAAUGGAACCGGCGCCACGAGCACUGGGUCCGCCUUCAGGGGCGCUCUCGCCUGAGAGACGAGGCUAACAUCGCGGAGGCAUAUGGCCGUUGCGGGAUGCAGAGGGGAAGAUGGUCAUGGAUAAAGAGGAUGCAGCGGUAGCUAACGCGGACCUUUUCUUGGUGAAGUGGCAGCGGCAGCUAACACGGACUUUUUCUUGGUGAAGUGGCAGCGGCCAUGGAUGGGGAGGGCGGAGGAUGGAGGAUCUGGAAGAGGCCGACUCAGAUCCACUUCGCCCCCGGUGGAAGAGAAGUGGGCG
Molecule: long non-coding RNA, 951 nt
Filed under: Triticum aestivum (bread wheat)
Lineage: Eukaryota; Viridiplantae; Streptophyta; Magnoliopsida; Poales; Poaceae
Description: long non-coding RNA (TAES_LNC015453)
Source: RNAcentral